Molecule: ribosomal RNA, 433 nt
Filed under: uncultured bacterium
Lineage: Bacteria
Description: partial 16S ribosomal RNA
Rfam family: Bacterial small subunit ribosomal RNA
Source: RNAcentral
AACGAACGCUGGCGGCAUGCCUAACACAUGCAAGUCGAACGAGACCUUCGGGUCUAGUGGCGCACGGGUGCGUAACGCGUGGGAACCUGCCCUUAGGUUCGGAAUAACUCCCCGAAAGGGGUGCUAAUACCGGAUAAUGUCUUCGGACCAAAGAUUUAUCGCCUUUUGAUGGGCCCGCGUUGGAUUAGCUAGUUGGUAGGGUAAAAGCCUACCAAGGCGACGAUCCAUAGCUGGUCUGAGAGGAUGAUCAGCCACACUGGGACUGAGACACGGCCCAGACUCCUACGGGAGGCAGCAGUGGGGAAUAUUGGACAAUGGGCGAAAGCCUGAUCCAGCAAUGCCGCGUGAGUGAUGAAGGCCUUAGGGUUGUAAAGCUCUUUUACCCGGGAUGAUAAUGACAGUACCGGGAGAAUAAGCUCCGGCUAACUCCGCG